Molecule: ribosomal RNA, 331 nt
Filed under: uncultured eukaryote
Lineage: Eukaryota
Description: partial 18S ribosomal RNA
Rfam family: Eukaryotic small subunit ribosomal RNA
Source: RNAcentral
CCCUUAGAUGUUCUGGGCCGCACGCGCGCUACACUGACGAAGUCAGCGAGCAUGUCCUACGCCGACAGGUGCGGGGAAUCUUGUCAAACUUCGUCGUGAUGGGGAUUGAUUAUUGAAAUUCUUGAUCAUCAACGAGGAAUUCCUAGUAAGCGCAAGUCAGCAGCUUGCGUUGAUUACGUCCCUGCCCUUUGUACACACCGCCCGUCGCUACUACCGAUUGAAUGGUUUAGUGAGAUCUUCGGAUUGGCGCCACUGCGGCUCAGCAAUGGGCUCGGUGGAUGCCGAAAAGUUGAUCAAACUUGAUCAUUUAGAGGAAGUAAAAGUCGUGACA